GCCGUAAACGAUGAGUGCUAAGUGUUAGAGGGUUUCCGCCCUUUAGUGCUGAAGUUAACGCAUUAAGCACUCCGCCUGGGGAGUACGGCCGCAAGGCUGAAACUCAAAGGAAUUGACGGGGGCCCGCACAAGCGGUGGAGCAUGUGGUUUAAUUUGAAGCAACGCGAAGAACCUUACCAGGUCUUGACAUCCUUUGACAACCCUAGAGAUAGGGCUUUUCCUUCGGGAGCAGAGUGACAGGUGGUGCAUGGUUGUCGUCAGCUCGUGUCGUGAGAUGUUGGGUUAAGUCCCGCAACGAGCGCAACCCUUGAUUUUAGUUGCCAUCAUUUAGUUGGGCACUUUAAGGUGACUGCCGGUGACAAACCGGAGGAAGGUGGGGAUGACGUCAAAUCAUCAUGCCCCUUAUGACCUGGGCUACACACGUGCUACAAUGGACGGUACAAAGAGCUGCAAGACCGCGAGGUGGAGCUAAUCUCAUAAAACCGUUCUCAGUUCGGAUUGUAGGCUGCAACUCGCCUACAUGAAGCUGGAAUCGCUAGUAAUCGCGGAUCAGCCUGCCGCGGUGAAUACGUUCCCGGGCCUUGUACACACCGCCCGUCA
Molecule: ribosomal RNA, 600 nt
Filed under: Bacillus sp. MAL2
Lineage: Bacteria; Bacillati; Bacillota; Bacilli; Caryophanales; Bacillaceae
Description: bacterial SSU rRNA
Rfam family: Bacterial small subunit ribosomal RNA
Source: RNAcentral